Molecule: ribosomal RNA, 279 nt
Filed under: uncultured bacterium
Lineage: Bacteria
Description: partial 16S ribosomal RNA
Rfam family: Bacterial small subunit ribosomal RNA
Source: RNAcentral
UGCCAGCAGCCGCGGUAAUACGAAGGGGGCUAGCGUUGUUCGGAAUCACUGGGCGUAAAGCGUAUGUAGGCGGAUCAAAAAGUUAGAUGUGAGAUCCCUGGGCUCAACCCAGGAACUGCAUUUAAAACUAGUGAUCUAGAAUUUGGUAGGGGCCAGUAGAAUUUCCAGUGUAGAGGUGAAAUUCGUAGAUAUUGGAAAGAAUACCAGUGGCGAAGGCGACUGGCUGGGCCAUUUUUGAAGCUGAGGUACGAAAGCGUGGGUAGCAAACAGGAUUAGAUA